RNAcentral lists this ribosomal RNA (253 nucleotides) under uncultured bacterium. RNAcentral's name for it is "partial 16S ribosomal RNA". It matches the Rfam family "Bacterial small subunit ribosomal RNA", at positions 524 to 776 of the family's 1533-position model. The record is from RNAcentral.
UACGAAGGGGGCUAGCGUUGCUCGGAAUUACUGGGCGUAAAGGGAGCGUAGGCGGACAGUUAAGUCAGUGGUGAAAGCCCAGAGCUCAACUCUGGAAUUGCCUUUGAUACUGAUUGUCUUGAGUAUGGGAGAGGUGUGCGGAACUCCGAGUGUAGAGGUGAAAUUCGUAGAUAUUCGGAAGAACACCAGUGGCGAAGGCGGCACACUGGCCCAUUACUGACGCUGAGGCUCGAAAGCGUGGGGAGCAAACAGG